RNAcentral lists this ribosomal RNA (163 nucleotides) under Mitragyna rotundifolia. Its description in RNAcentral is "5.8S ribosomal RNA". It matches the Rfam family "5.8S ribosomal RNA". From Rfam's summary of the family: 5.8S ribosomal RNA (5.8S rRNA) is a component of the large subunit of the eukaryotic ribosome. The record is from RNAcentral. RNAcentral also lists the same sequence under 2 other names. Lineage: Eukaryota; Viridiplantae; Streptophyta; Magnoliopsida; Gentianales; Rubiaceae.
CAAACGACUCUCGGCAACGGAUAUCUCGGCUCUCGCAUCGAUGAAGAACGUAGCGAAAUGCGAUACUUGGUGUGAAUUGCAGAAUCCCGUGAACCAUCGAGUCUUUGAACGCAAGUUGCGCCCGAAGCCAUCAGGCCAAGGGCACGUCUGCCUGGGCGUCACG